This 4519-nucleotide long non-coding RNA is filed under the name Homo sapiens (human). Its description in RNAcentral is "non-protein coding GATA2-AS1:12". The record is from RNAcentral. Lineage: Eukaryota; Metazoa; Chordata; Mammalia; Primates; Hominidae.
GUGGAGACCCGGACUGGCGCCGGCGCCAGCUGGAGGGAGACGCCCCCGGGCAAGAGGUGGCAUUUUUUUUCCUCCGGGGGGGGUCCCCGAGGUGGCCUCUGGUGAGGGGGAGGCGGUGGUCUGAGGUCUCCGUCUUCUAAGUCACCUGGAAGUGCUCCCCACUCACUUCUAGCCCGGAGAUCGGCUCUAUGGUUCGUGUGGGCCGGGCGCACAAGUCUUCCUCCCUCCCAUUGUACAGACUGGGGAGACGGAGGCUCGAAGGGAGCCCCGGGCCGAGGAGGGAGGUCCAGGACAAAGGCAUUUUGGGGGACCUAGACAGGUGCCGAGUACUGGGGGGACUCAACAGCGUCCUCCAGCCCUCUUCCCUGUUGGGCCCGAGGCUCCCGGGGUAGAUGUCCAGAGGGCCCCCAGCUUACGAUUCUUCAUCAACUCGUAAAAUGAGAUCGCCGCGGAGCUCGAGCCUAUUUGGCGUCUCCGGAGACUAGCAAGACCCUCUGAAAGACACCGCGUCCCCAGGGAUAAUCCCCCGUGUCCGGCAAAGCUGCCCCGCUCGAGCGCGAACCCUGGGACCCAGCGCGGGAGGCAGACCAGCAGCUGGCCGCUGGGCUGUGAACGCCAGGACCGAGCGGAAGCUUCCCGCCCGGCCGCGAUCGGUGCCGCGGCUCUCAGGGAAGUGGCUACGCGCGUCCCUCGGGAAAGCAGUAACAAUGUUGGCAUGGCUGUUUUUGUUUCUGCUCAGCCCCAGCCUGGUCCUCACCAUCUCCUUCCACCUGCCCAUUAACUCCUGAAAGUUCCUCCAUGAGGAGAUCCACAAGGACCUGCUAGUGAUGGGUGCGUACGAGAUCUCCAACAAGUCUGGGGGUGCUGGCAGCCUGCACAGCCACCUCAAGGUCACAGAUUCUGCUGGCCACAUUCUCUACUCCAAAGAGGAUGCAACCAAAGGGAAAUUUGCCUUUAUCCUGGAAGAUUAUGACAUGUUUGAAGUGUGAUUUGAGAGCAAGGAAACAGGGUGGAUACCUGAUCAAUUCGUAAUCCUAGACAUGAAGCAUGGAGUAGAGGCAGAAAAGAAAUUACAAGGAGAUUACAAAAGUCGAGAAGCUUAAACCGUUAUAGAUGGAGCUGCAAUGCCUAGAAGACCUGUCAGAAUCUAUUGUUAAUGAUUUUGCUACGUGAAGAAGAGAGAGAUGUGUAGUACUAAUGAAUCAACAAACACUUGAGCCCUGUACUUCAGUGUCUCUUUAAUGUUCUGCUUCAUUGGACUAGCCACCUGGCAGGUUUUCUACCUGUGUUGCUUCUUCAAGGCCAAGAUGUCGAUUGAGUAAUGAACGAAGUGCACUCUCCUCCCACCUUGUAUCUCAGGCAGCAGAACAUCACUGGGCAUCCUACCAAAAGCACCAUCAAAAUGCACUGGAGCCCUCUUGCCAGAACUGAUCUCUUGGUGGGGGAGGACAUGGGUACCACCUACCCAACAAGUCAAUGAGAGAUUUCUUUUUAGCUGGUAGUAUUUGGACUUGUUUUGCAACAAUAGGACCAGUAUUAGAGUCACCUAUGACCAAAAAUAAGGGUUACCAAAUAAUGCCAAAGCCAGGAUUUGUGCUGGGUUUCCUUGUGCGAUCUGUUUGAACCAAGUUUUCUUUCCUUCUCCCGCUUUCUCGGCAGCUUGAAUUUCCACUCUAGUUCUUUUACCCAGAUUGGUAUGGCCAUGUUGAACUUGUUUCCUUCUGGUUGUCUUCUUUGGGUUUCCUUGUGAAAACACCCUUAACUUUCCUUUUGCCUUUAGCUGAAAUGUUUACAUAGCUUCUGGUGAUAUCUUCUCAUAAUUUUAUGUCUCUUAAAAGGUUGACGGAUGUGACACUUCAAAAAGUGAGCUUUGAACUGAAGAUAACUCUUAAAGAAAAUAUCAUUUUAGACAAUUAAAAUAUUUAUGCUCCAAAAAGAUAUAAUUUACAUAUCACUUUUUCACUGUUUUUAUGGCUAAAUAAAAUUACAUGGCAUCAACAUUCCAUACUUUGCCCAUCCAUUCAUCAGUUGGUGGACAUUUGGAUUGUUUAUAUCCUUUAGCUAUUAGGAAUAAUGCUGCUUUGAACAUAAUGUAAGUUUUUGUUUGAACAUUUGUUUUCAGUUCUCUUGGAUAUAUACCUAGGAGCAGAAGAUGGGUCAUAUGGUAGCUUCAUGUUUAACUUUUCAAGAAACUGCCUGCUUGUUUCCAAAAUGGCUGCACCAUCUUACAUUCCCCAGAAGCAACGCAAGAGGGUUCCAAUGCUUCAACAUCCUCACCAUUGCUAUCGUCCAUCUUUAUUACAGCCACCCUAGCGGAUGUAAAGUGGUGUCUCACUGUAGCUUUGAUGUGCAUUUUCUGAUGCACAUCAUUUUACUGAUGCUGAGCAUUAUUUCAUGUGUUUGUUGCCACUUGUCUAUCUUCUUUGGAGAAAUGCCCAUUCAAGUCUUUUGUCCAUUUAAAAAAUUGGAUUAUUUGUCUUUUUAUUGUUGAGUUUAAGGAGUUCUUUAUAUAUUCUAGACACUAGACCUUCAUCAGAGAUAUGACUUGCAAAUAUUUUCUCCCAUUCCGCGGCUUGUCUUUUCAUUUUAUUGAUAGUGUUUUUGAAACACGAAGUUUUAAAUAUUGAUGAAGUACAAUUUAUCUGGCUUUCCUCCCCUUUGGUUGCUUGUGCUUUUGGUGUCAUAUCUACGAAUGCUUGCCUAGCUCAGAGAUUUGUGCCUAUGCUUUUUUCUAAGCAGCAGUGAUCCAAUCAAAGCCACAUUGCAAAAAAGACCCGCAGCUGACUGUGGUGUGGCCAGUAAAUGGAGAGGGCAAAGGAGCAGGUAUGGGGAGGUCAGUGAGGACACUGUGGCAGUGGUCAGGGAAACAGACAGACAGAUGAUAGCAGCUUGGUCCAGAGUGGUGGCAGUAGGAAUGGAAAGAAUUGGGCAGAUUUCUGAAUUAUUAAGGAAGACAAACCUCAGAACUGAGUCUUCCAUCUCCACCGUCCACCCACGUUACUCCUCCUCAGUCUCCUAACACACUUUUUUUAAAAAGAAAAAACUACUGAGGUGUAUUUUACAUGUCAUAAAACUCAUCCAUUUCAAGUAUAGAAUUCAACAACUUGUGGUAACAAAUACAAUAUGUGGCCUUUUGUGACUGGCUUCUUUCAAUUAGCUUAAUGUUUUCAAGGUUCAUCAUGUUGGAGCAUGUAAAUGGGCUUCAUUCCUUUUCAUAGCUGCAUAAUGUUUCAUUAUGCCACAUACUGUUUAUCCAUUCAUCAGUUGAUGAGCAUUUGGGUUGUUUCUACUCUUUGACUAUUAUGAAUAAUGCUGCUAAGAACAUUAAUGUACAAGUUUCUGUGUGGACAUAUGCUUUCAUUUCUCUUAUUUUCAUUUUAUUCCACCUAGGAGUGGAAUUGCUGGGUUGUAUGGUAGUGUUAUGUUUAACUGUUUGAGAAACCACCAAAUUAUUUUUGUUUUCUUUUUAAGAUGAGGUCUCGCUAUGUUGCCCAGGCUGGUCUUGAACUCCUGGCCUCAAGUGAUCCUCCCACCUCAGCAUCCCAAAGCGCUGGGAUUACAGGCAUGAGGCAUGCCACCAUUACACACCCGGCCAGCCACCAAAUUAUUUUCCAAAGCAGCUACACCACCUUACAUUCCCACCAGCAGUGUAUGAGCAUUCCCAUCUCUCUACACCCUCGACAGUAAUUUUGGUCUGUCUAAUUUACUAUAGCCAUUCUAGUGGGUAAGAACUCACACACACUUCUGCUUCUUCUUGGCAAUGCAUCCAUGUGGAGCCAUGCUGGGGCUUUCCAGGACUGGCUGACUUUCACCUCCACUUGUAGAAAGAAGGGACAUAUCUGGCAAUACUGUAGCCCCAGAGCUUGGUCCAGGGCCUAGAACUAAGGAUGCACCCCUGAAUGGCUCCUGGAUGGAUAAUGGGCUGGGUGAGGGAGGUACAUGGUGAGGGGGAUACUGGUUUCAGUGCAAUUGGAGCUCAGUGAUAUCUGAGAAGUCUGGGGGCUGGGAGGGGAGAUGUGCAUAUCUAAGGACACCACCCACCGUAUGAUAGGGUAUAGAAGAGGCAGGGUAACCUGUGUAGAAAAUCAGCUCCCAGCCUCCUGCUCGGACCUUACCCUCAAGGAAUGCAGAACCCCCUGUGUAUCCCUUUCUCCUCCUGAUAUAGUUUAGAUAUUUAUCCCCACCAAAUCUUCAUGUUGAAUUGUAAUCCCAGUGUUGCAGAUGGGGCCUGGUGGGAGGAGUUUUGGUCAUGGGGGUGGACCCCUCAUGGCUUGGUGCUGUCCUCACUGUAGUAAGUUCUCACAAGAUCUAAUUGUUUAGGUGUGUGCCACCUACCCCCUCCCACUCUCUCUCUCUUUUGCUCCUGCUUUUGCUAUAUGAGGUACCUGAUCCUGCUUCACCGUCCACCAUGACUGUAAGCUUCUUGAGGCCUCCCCAGAAGCCAAGCAGAUGCCAGCACCAUGCUUGUACAGCCUGCAGAACCAUGAACCAAUUAAACCUCUUUUCUUUAUAAAUUACC